Molecule: ribosomal RNA, 407 nt
Filed under: uncultured Pseudomonas sp.
Lineage: Bacteria; Pseudomonadati; Pseudomonadota; Gammaproteobacteria; Pseudomonadales; Pseudomonadaceae
Description: bacterial SSU rRNA
Rfam family: Bacterial small subunit ribosomal RNA
Source: RNAcentral
AGGUUCAUGGACUUUCUAGAGAAGAGCGGUGCCUUCGGGAACAUUGAGACAGGUGCUGCAUGGGUGUCGUCAGCUCGUGUCGUGAGAUGUUGGGUUAAGUCCCGUAACGAGCGCAACCCUUGUCCUUAGUUACCAGCACGUAAUGGUGGGCACUCUAAGGAGACUGCCGGUGACAAACCGGAGGAAGGUGGGGAUGACGUCAAGUCAUCAUGGCCCUUACGGCCUGGGCUACACACGUGCUACAAUGGUCGGUACAAAGGGUUGCCAAGCCGCGAGGUGGAGCUAAUCCCAUAAAACCGAUCGUAGUCCGGAUCGCAGUCUGCAACUCGACUGCGUGAAGUCGGAAUCGCUAGUAAUCGUGAAUCAGAAUGUCUCUGUGAAUACGUUCCCGGGUCUUGUACACACCG